This is a non-coding RNA of Poronia punctata, 111 nucleotides long. Lineage: Eukaryota; Fungi; Ascomycota; Sordariomycetes; Xylariales; Xylariaceae. The record is from the annotation of a GenBank genome assembly.
GGCUAGGUGGCGGAGUGGUUAACGCGGUAGACUCGAACUCGCAUUUAGUUUAAAUUGCUUCUUUGAAAUCUACUUCCUUCGGGAGCGUCUGUUCGAAUCAGGCCCUAGUCG